This 382-nucleotide ribosomal RNA is filed under the name uncultured eukaryote. Its description in RNAcentral is "partial 18S ribosomal RNA". It matches the Rfam family "Eukaryotic small subunit ribosomal RNA", at positions 592 to 976 of the family's 1831-position model. The record is from RNAcentral.
UGUAAGCGUAUACCAAAGUUGUUGCAGUUAAAACGCUCGUAGUCGGACUUUGGCAGUUCCGGAUGUGUGCACGUCGUGUGCGCACUUCGCGGGGAUUGCUUUUGUGGUCUUGCGUAGGAUGAGGCACUUUUAUUAGUGAACGUCCUCACGCAACCACUUUUUACUGUGAGAAAAUCAGAGUGCUCAAAGCAGGCAUUUGCCGUGAAUGUAUUAGCAUGGAAUAAUAGAAUAGGACUUGGUUCUAUUUUGUUGGUUUGUUGUGACUGAGUAAUGAUUAAGAGGGACAGUUGGGGGCAUUUGUAUUUCGGUGCUAGAGGUGAAAUUCUUAGAUUACCGAAAGACAAACUGCUGCGAAAGCGUCUGCCAAGGAUGUUUUCAUUGA